This 468-nucleotide ribosomal RNA is filed under the name uncultured bacterium. RNAcentral's name for it is "partial 16S ribosomal RNA". It matches the Rfam family "Bacterial small subunit ribosomal RNA", at positions 28 to 507 of the family's 1533-position model. The record is from RNAcentral.
GACGAACGCUGGCGGCGUGCUUAACACAUGCAAGUCGAACGGAAAGGCCCUGCUUUUGUGGGGUGCUCGAGUGGCGAACGGGUGAGUAACACGUGAGUAACCUGCCCUUGACUUUGGGAUAACUUCAGGAAACUGGGGCUAAUACCGGAUAGGAGCUCCUGCUGCAUGGUGGGGGUUGGAAAGUUUCGGCGGUUGGGGAUGGACUCGCGGCUUAUCAGCUUGUUGGUGGGGUAGUGGCUUACCAAGGCUUUGACGGGUAGCCGGCUUGAGAGGGUGACCGGCCACAUUGGGACUGAGAUACGGCCCAGACUCCUACGGGAGGCAGCAGUGGGGAAUAUUGCACAAUGGGCGGAAGCCUGAUGCAGCAACGCCGCGUGCGGGAUGACGGCCUUCGGGUUGUAAACCGCUUUCGCCUGUGACGAAGCGUGAGUGACGGUAAUGGGUAAAGAAGCACCGGCCAACUACGUG